UUACUCUCUUCUGCUAGGAAAUGUCAUUUUCUUCAACAUGAAAUAAGUUGGUGGUUAUGUAGAAAAGCAUCUCUGCUUUGAUUUCUGUGAAUGCUUCUUUUAUUUCUCAUUAUGAACCUCAAAUUCCUUACCGUGUAUGCUUGAUUAUAUCCAAGUAUACUACCAGAGAUUUAUUCAGAUAGUAAAAUGUUCAGUUGAUAGAUAAGGACAUGACAUAUCUUGGCUGAGGAUCUGGCUCACAAAUAUAACUGGGACACAAGAUGAUUACCUCCUGGCCAUUUUUGUACUUUAUCCCUGCAUAAUUUGGAGAAUUUAAAAUUUACAUGAGAUACUCGAUUCCUUGCUGUCUUACAGCAGUAGGACUGGGAAUAUUUCUACUGAAAUAUCACAGAAGUAAUCACUCUUGUGUAAUUUAUUAUCUGUAAAGGGAGUGUCAGAGACAAAUUAUCUUUAACAGAAACUUACUAUGAUAUUAGGCAAUUUGUAGUUCUCUUUAAAACAACAAAAAAUCCCUUAGCUAACUGAAGAUUACCAUUUGCAAAAGACAAUAAUUGCUGUCAUCCAUUUUUUAAAGAAGUUGGAAAGCUAACAAACAAACAAACAAAAAGAAAACAAAACAUUUUGAAGCUAGGAAAAUAACCGAAUAGGUGUACUGCUUGACAUCCAUAAAUUACUAUGUAAUGGAGAUUACUGAUAAUGGUUCUUGUCAUACAUAAUAUACUCAUACAAAAGGUUUGGUCCAGUCAAUUUCCUUCCCAACAACCAUCCCCAUCUUUUUUAUGUUGACCUAUGAUAAAACUAUGUUUGAUAGUACCUCUGUUCAGGAGCUUUCAAGUUGUAACUAUAGUUAUGUAAUGUG
This is a long non-coding RNA of Oxyura jamaicensis (ruddy duck), 859 nucleotides long. RefSeq lists it as uncharacterized. The transcript has 3 exons. The record is from RefSeq and is a predicted model, not a curated record. Lineage: Eukaryota; Metazoa; Chordata; Aves; Anseriformes; Anatidae.